Molecule: long non-coding RNA, 775 nt
Filed under: Bos taurus (domestic cattle)
Lineage: Eukaryota; Metazoa; Chordata; Mammalia; Artiodactyla; Bovidae
Description: long non-coding RNA NONBTAT005733
Source: RNAcentral
AAAAAAAAGGAAGUGACCACUUUUCUUGCACAGACUAAAAAACCCAGGCUGGCAUUUUUAGGUUGGGAAACCACUGAAUCGGUCAAGUCUGACAGUCAAGUGAGUUAAAAAACAAAGUAUGGAGCAUGAAUUUCCCUAUACCAUCUGCUGUGCUAAUUAACAGUCCUGCCUCAGUUCACCAUGCUGGUCCAAAAAGUGCAUUGCUCUCCAGUUGAGCUAGACGGAGCCCUUUGGCCAGAAGUCAAUGUAUUUUGGAUGAGAUAGAUUUUCUGACAAGGUGUGUUUGUUUUCUUAUGCCAGAAGGCAGAGAAGUCAAUCCUAGUCAUUUUUCUCCUUGGAUACUAAAUUCACAUAGGUCAGCUGGCUUCCUGUAGAGCCCUGAGCUUCAUCAUUUGUGACUCCAGCUUCCACGGGACUCUGAGCCUCUCACUUGUUCUCCCCUAAUAAACAAUGACCCAGACCUAACUGUGUCUUUUAAAAAUCUCAGAUCCUCCAGGAACAUCUUUAUUGCUUCCUCAUCAGUAAUUUUGCAGCAAAUUUCUAUUUUUGUUUUUCCUUGUCUGUUCUCCCAGCCACCAGUUGAUAGACAGAUGAACUGGUGGAUAAAUGUUUGGUGUGAUGGAUAGAUAGAUACAGACGACAGACAGAACCAGUACUCUGAAGCAACUUAAGAACUAUGGCCUUGAUUUCUUGAAGCUGUAGGUUCUGAUCCAGGAAACAUUUAUUUAGCACCUGCUGCCAGAAAUUUAUUAUACCAUUUCAAACUCAAUAGCAC